This 24-nucleotide non-coding RNA is filed under the name Drosophila melanogaster (fruit fly). Lineage: Eukaryota; Metazoa; Arthropoda; Insecta; Diptera; Drosophilidae. The record is from RNAcentral.
UAAUAAGUUAAGUUAGUUGCAAUU